This 284-nucleotide long non-coding RNA is filed under the name Elaeis guineensis (African oil palm). Its description in RNAcentral is "long non-coding RNA (EGUI_LNC070296)". The record is from RNAcentral. Lineage: Eukaryota; Viridiplantae; Streptophyta; Magnoliopsida; Arecales; Arecaceae.
ACCCUCAUCUUAGGAACUCAGAGAGUGGGUGACAACCAUUUGAAUGGUGCAAAAAAAAAUCAUGCAAAACCCAUUUGUGCAUGAGGGGAGUGGUCGGCAUUAAGGGAAGAGUCCAACUAGUUUUGGACUCUAGUUUCUCAUUCAAGUUCAAACCUUUUUCAACUCAAAUAAAAACUAACCUCAUCCAGAAUCAAAAGGGAUUAGAUGUGGGUGCAAAUCCACUUUUGGGCAUGAAAAAAAAUUUAUGCAAAGACACUUCUCAUGUGAGGAAAAAAUGGGCACAG